UACGGGGGGGGCAAGCGUUGUUCGGAAUUACUGGGCGUAAAGGGCGCGUAGGCGGCCUUCUAAGUCAGACGUGAAAUCCCCCGGCUUAACCUGGGAACUGCGUCUGAUACUGGAGGGCUUGAGUGCGGGAGAGGGAUGUGGAAUUCCAGGUGUAGCGGUGAAAUGCGUAGAUAUCAGGAGGAACACCAAUGGCGAAGGCAGCUCGCUGGGACGUGACUGACGCUGAGACGCGAAAGCGUGGGGAGCAAACAGG
This 253-nucleotide ribosomal RNA is filed under the name uncultured bacterium. RNAcentral's name for it is "partial 16S ribosomal RNA". It matches the Rfam family "Bacterial small subunit ribosomal RNA", at positions 524 to 776 of the family's 1533-position model. The record is from RNAcentral.